GACGGGAGAUGCAAGCGUUAUUCGGAUUUAUUGGGCGUAAAGGGUCUGUAGGUUGUUGGUUAAGUCUAUGGUCAAAUUCCGAAGCUCAACUUCGGGCCGGCACUAGAAACUAAUCAACUUGAGUACGUUAGAGGCAGGGGGAAUUCCCAGUGUAGCGGUGAAAUGCGUAGAUAUUGGGAGGAACAUCAAUGGCGAAGGCACCCUGCUAGGCCGAUACUGACACUGAAAGACGAAAGCUAGGGGAGCAAAUGGGAUUAGAUACCCCAGUAGUCCUAGCUGUAAACGAUGGGGACUAAACUUUGGUUUUAGACAGAGUUAAAGCUAACGCGUUAAGUCCCCCGCCUGGGGAGUACGCCCGCAAGAGUG
RNAcentral lists this ribosomal RNA (366 nucleotides) under uncultured phototrophic eukaryote. RNAcentral describes it as "SSU rRNA". It matches the Rfam family "Bacterial small subunit ribosomal RNA", at positions 524 to 896 of the family's 1533-position model. The record is from RNAcentral.